Molecule: RNA transcript, 338 nt
Organism: Ailuropoda melanoleuca (giant panda)
Lineage: Eukaryota; Metazoa; Chordata; Mammalia; Carnivora; Ursidae
Exons: 3
Source: RefSeq, a predicted model, not a curated record
GAAUUUCAUACGGUGCUGCCAGAAGUUUGUGCAGGUGGUGUAUUUCAUCUUCUAGAACAGCCUGCAGCCUCUGGUCUUUACUUGGGGAUCUCUGCAGAGACUGAGUAAGAUUGACAGCUUUGCAGGUGAAAACCAAGAUGUUCCACCUACAAGGCUCGCAAGUGCUGCAGACGCUAGAAAAAUCCUUGAGGAAGAGCCUCCCAGAGUCCUUAAAGGUGUAUGGGACCAUCUUCCACAUGAACCAGGGAAACCCAUUUAAGCUAAAGGCCCUGGUGGACAAGUGGCCUGACUUUACAACAGUGGUUAUCCGCCCUCAGGAGGAGGUAAGGUGCCAGAUG